This 468-nucleotide ribosomal RNA is filed under the name uncultured bacterium. RNAcentral describes it as "partial 16S ribosomal RNA". It matches the Rfam family "Bacterial small subunit ribosomal RNA", at positions 28 to 507 of the family's 1533-position model. The record is from RNAcentral.
GACGAACGCUGGCGGCGUGCUUAACACAUGCAAGUCGAACGGAAAGGCCCUGCUUUUGUGGGGUGCUCGCGUGGCGAACGGGUGUGUAACCCAUGAGUAACCUGCCCUUGACUUUGGGAUAACUUCAGGAAACUGGGGCUACUACCUGCUAGGAGCUCCUGCUGCAUGGUGGGCGUUGGAACGUUUCGGCGGUUGGGGAUGGACUCGCGGCUUAUCAGCUGGUUGGUGGGGUAGUGGCUUACCCGGGCUUUGACGGGUAGCCGGCAUGAGAGGGUGAACGGGGACAAUGGGACUGAGAGACGGCGCAGACUCGUAUGGGAGGCAGAAGGGGAGAAUAUUGUACAAUGAGCGGAAGUCUGAGGAAGAAACGUCGCGUGCGGGAUGAACGCCAUCGGGGGGGAAAGCGCAGUAGGCUGUGACGAAGCGGGAGUGACGGUAAUGGGUAAAGAAGCACCGGCUAACUACGUG